CCUCGCCUCUAUCAAGUGGUAUCAGUUUUCAGGUUGCUCGGUGAGAAAUUCCAGUUUUCCUAGAUUAGAUUUAUUUUCUUACCUAUUGUCCAAGAAAAAGCCACAAAAAAGCUAGAUCUAUUCAUCCUUUGUCCAAGCCAGUCCGAGCCUUUGCAAUUUUCUUUUCAUUGCUUGCAUAGUUGAAUUAUCGGUUGCAUCGUCGUGUCGAGUUGCUGGUCUUAGUGUCUUGUUCGUUUAGAGUUUCGAGUUCUGUUCACAUUAGUCACGCCGCCGCUGCAUCGUUAUCCCUUUCACUGUCCACCACCCAUUCAUCAAUUCCCACCACGUGCUACCCAUCGUUCAUUAUCUAAAUCAUAGUUGAGGUCGUUCACAUCUUCCCUAGAUCCAAUCUGCAUCUUAUCUAGUUUGUUUUGGAAAGAGGGAGAGAGAAAAAAACAAAAGAAGAGAAAAAAAAGUUCGAGAAAAAAGAGAGAAAGAAAAAGAAAAAAAGUAUGAGGAAAAAAAGAGAAAAAAGAGAAAAAAUUGCAAAAAAGUGAAAAAAGAGAAAAAAAAUUCAAAGUGUGCUCCUCCCUUGUUUACGUGCAACGCCGUGAUUUUGUUAGUGUUCUAGGCUCGCGUCUCUAGUACGGUCUAGCCUAGGACCAGCAAAGUACCGUCGUUGAGCGUUUAUUCAACAUUGCAUCUCUGAAUUGAUUAUUGCUAAUCUUUUGCUACCAUAUAUAGCCAACCCAGCUCCACAUAUUUCUACACCGUGUAUACGUACGUUCCCCUGGCAAUCACUUUACACAAUCUUCAGAGUUAUUUGACACCGCUGAUUGCCUGUCACCACCUGCUGCUUGGUAAGAACUUGUAAGAUAUUGAUAUUUGCUUUACUGUGAGCGCUUUACCACCACACCCUAGUAGUUCAUAGGAACAUUAUUCUUGAAUUUUGUUUCUUGUUUCUACUAAGCAUGACAGGUUCCGAAGAUAGAAGUUCUUGGACGACGGACACAUCUUCACCAUCACGAGAGUUGGGACAACACACACAAGCACAUGCUCAGGUUAUCUUUUUACCGUCAUUUGAGGGUAGAUUUAAUCCUACUACUUAUCUAGCUUGGGAGCUUGAAGUAGAACAAGUUUUUAGUCACCAUGACUUUCCUGAACUUGAGCGAGUGCGAGCAGCCACUAGAGCAUUUACUGAUUUUGCUUCUGUUUGGUGGAGUGUACAUUGUAAGAAAAACAUUGAUAACCAACCCACAACUUGGAAAGUUUUGAAAUCUGUAAUGAGACAACAAUUUUCCCUCCUUAGUAUCGUCGUGAAUUGCUUCGCAAAUUUGAACAAUUUAAACAAGGCAACAACACUGUUCAUGCUUACUACCAAGAGUUCAAAUCUUAUAUGCAUCAUUGUGACAUAGAAGAAUCUGAGAAUGAUACAGUGAAUAGAUUUUUGGUGGUUUGAACCAUGAUAUGCAGGAAAGAUUUCAGUAUAUUCCUUGUUGCAUUACUGGUAUGUAUGUCCGUGCUUGUACCUUUGAGAAACAGAUACAGGAGGAUACAUUAGGUGACUACAACAACUACUAUUCCAGUUCAUGCUCACCAACGCUGGUUGGUUCCUCCACCGUUGCACCUCGGAUUAUGAGCGCGGCAUCAUCUCAAGGGUAUGGUACAUUGUCAAUGUCCGUACCUACAUCAGCUACAUCUUUGCGACAAGGUAACAGUAAAGGUAUUGAUGAUAUAACUUCACAUGAGAAUGAUGCAUGCCUAGUUAACUUGAAUGCGUCAUGUAUUGAGUUACCUAUUGAUUUGAGCACACCACCUAUUUUAGAGAAUCUUGUUAUUUUCAUGAAUGCGUCAUGUGAUCAAACAACUGAAAUAUCAACAAUUUUGAGUGCACCCAUUGAAUUAACUGUUGAUGCAAAAGAACCAAUGUUUAAUCAUUUUGAUAUGACCUCCAAUCUUCGUGAUGAUUCUGUGUCCAAUGACUUAUUGCAUGUUUGCUUAUUUAAGCAUGUUGUAGCAUGUAAAUUUGAUGCAAGCAAGGUUUAUUCACCAAAGUUGGGAUGGUUUAAUGAUGAACAUUGCCAAUCUUUUGAAAUGAAUAAGAGCUUCACUUAUAUGUGCAAACUAAGUUGCAAUAUUUUCAUGCCUUCUACUUCUUGUGAUAAUUUUUUGGCUUUAGAUUUUAUGAACUAUGAAAGUUACUCAUGUAUACAUGUGUCAUAUGUGCAAAAAUCAAGGGAAGUUAAAAUGGAUGACAUAUACAUAUACAACAUGUACACCUUGUCUCUUUUGUUAGCCACAUUUCAGAUUAAGCAACGCCGAGGACGGCUUUGUUUUCAAAAAGGGGAGGAUGAUGAGGACAUGACUACCUUGGAUACGACCAAAAAUAUUGCAUACAUGCAUAUUUGUCAAGUGAUUUCUAAUGCAAACUAUUCAAUAAUCUAUUUAUGUUAUCCAGAACAAAAAUACUUCACACAUUUUUGUGUUUUGUGUAAUUGCAGGUGUAUGGGACAUUUGUACAAUCCGCAUAUGAAGAUAAGGGAAAAGGAUAAGUUUAGGUUCUGUUCAAAAAGUCCUCUCACGUCACUUUUGGGCCAAGAGAAGAUAGAGUCCAAGUCUCUCAUGUUCUGGAUUCAGAUUCGGACUGCACAGACAUACCUGACUCAAAACACCAACAACUUUUUCAUACAGACUCCGAAUUGGGUGAUUCUUUAUUUGUUAGAAACUAGAUUUCGUGCUCGUUCCAACCCAAUUGGUUCACCUUCAAAUUCGUCCGGAGCGUUGAGUUAUGGACGAAACAAUCUGACGUUGCAGCAGAAUCCGAGUCAAACUACAAGCCCAAAGGUGUUGCAUCACCUCCACUUGGGCCCAUGAGCCUUGUAUGACCUAGGGUUAGUUUUAGGCUGCCUUGGGACGUCCUCCCACCUCCUUGGCCGCCACCCCUUGCUCCUAUAUAAGUAGAUCCAUCUAGUAGCUUUUUCCUUGGGAUUUGUUUAGUUAAAAGUUAGCCAUUGCAACUUCGUGUACUUCGUUUGUGUCCAACGACCAAACCAAGACCGCUUACGGAUCCCCACCAUUAUCAAUACUUCAUAUAUAUUCGCAAUAUUCGGAUUGCUUUAUCAUAUUCUUGCUCGUUCUUCGAUUGCUUGCAGGAAUAGACCUUCGUGGUCAGGCUGACCGUGCUUCCGGCAUAGUCAGUAACCUCAGGAGAUUGGUUUAGCGAUUGCUAAGGCGCAACGUCGUGCAUGUUUGUAGUUGGAUCGUCAAAGUCGUCUCCACGAAAUUGAUAGUUAUCAUCUCAUCGAACGAUCGGGACACCCUUGCCUCUAUCACUUGAUCAGCCCGUAGCAGCCACGUAAAACUUGCAACAACAAAGUAGAGGACGUCUAACUUAUUUUUGCAGGGCAUGUUGUGAUGUGAUAUGGUCAAGACAUGAUGCUAAAUUUUAUUUUAUGAGAUGAUCAUGUUUUGUAACACAGUUAUCGGCAACUAGCAGGAGCCAUAUGGUUGUCGCUUUAUUGUAUGAAAUGCAAUCGCCAUGUAAUUGCUUUACUUUAUCACUAAGCUGUAGCGAUAGUCGUGGAGGCAAUAGUUGGCGUGACAACAACGAUGCUUUGAUGGAGAUCAAGGUGUCAAGCCGGUGACGAUGGUGAUCAUGGCGGUGCUUUAGAGGUGGAGCUCAAAGGCACAAGAUGAUGAUGGCCAUAUCAUAUCAUUUAUAUUGAUUGCAUGUGAUGUUUAUCUUUUAUGCAGCUUAUUUUGCUUAGAUCGACGGUAGCAUUAUAAGAUGAUCUCUCACUAAAUUUCAAGGUAUAAGUGUUCUCCCUGAGUAUGCACCGUUGCGAAAGUUCGUCGUGCCGAGACACCACGUGAUGAUCGGGUGUGAUAAGCUCUACGUUCACAUACAAUGGGUGCAAGCCAGUUUUGCACACGCAGAAUACUCGGGUUAAACUUGACGAGCCUAGCAUAUGCAGAUAUGACCUCGAAACACUAAGACCGAAAGGUCGAGCGUGAAUCAUAUAGUAGAUAUGAUCAACAUAGUGAUGUUCACCAUUGAAAACUACUCCAUCUCACAUGAUGAUCGGACAUUGUUUAGUUGAUGUGGAUCACGUGAUCACUUAGAUGAUUAGAGGGAUGUCUGUCUAAGUGGGAGUUCUUAAGUAAUAUGAUUAAUUGAACUUUAAUUUAUCAUGAACUUAGUACCUGGUAGUAUUUUGCAUGUCUAUGUUGUUGUAGAUAGAUGGCCCGUGAUGUUGUUCCGUUGAAUUUUAAUGCGUUCCUUGAGAAAGCAAAGUUGUAAGAUGAUGGUAGCAAUUACACGAACUGGGUCCGUAACUUGAGGAUUAUCCUCAUUGCUGCACAAAAGAAUUACAUCCUGGAAGCACUGCUAGGUGCCAAACCCGCUGCAGGAGCAACGCCAGAUGUUAUGAACGUCUGGCAGAGCAAAGCUGAUGACUACUCGAUAGUUCAGUGUGCCAUGCUUUAUGGCUUAGAACCGGGACUUCAACGACGUUUUGAACGUCAUGGAGCAUAUGAGAUGUUCCAGGAGUUGAAGUUAAUAUUUCAAGCAAAUGCCCGGAUUGAGAGAUAUGAAGUCUCCAAUAAGUUCUACAGCUCCAAGAUGGAGGAGAAUAGUUCUGUCAGUGAACAUAUACUCAGAAUGUCUGGGUACCACAACCACUUGACUCAACUGGGAGUUAAUCUUCCCAAUGAUAGUGUCAUUGACAGAGUUCUUCAAUCACUGCCACCAAGCUACAAGAGCUUCGUGAUGAGCUAUAAUAUGCAAGGGAUGGAUAAGACGAUUCCCGAGCUCUUCGCAAUGCUAAAGGCUGUGGAGGUAGAAAUCAAGAAGGAGCAUCAAGUGUUGAUGGUCAACAAGACCACCAGUUUCAAGAAAAAGGGUAAAGGGAAGAAGGGGAACUUCAAGAAGAACAACAAGCCAAUUGCUGCUCAAGUGAAGAAACCCAAGUCUGGACCUAAUCCUAAGACUGAGUGCUUCUACUACUAAGGGACUGGUCACUGGAAGCGGAAUUACCCCAAGUAUUUGGCGGAUAAGAAGGAUGGCAAGGUGAACAAAGGUAUAUGUGAUAUACAUGUUAUUGAUGUGUACCUUACUAAUGCUCGCAGUAGUGCCUGGGUAUUUGAUACUGGUUCAGUUGCUAACAUUUGCAGCUAGAAACAGGGACUACAGAUUAAGCAAAGAUUGGCUAAGGACGAGGUGACGAUGCGCGUGGGAAAUGGUUCCAAAGUCGAUGUGAUCGCGGUCGGCACGCUAACUCUACAUCUACCUUCGGGAUUAGUUUUAGACCUAAAUAAUUGUUAUUUGGUGCCAGCGUUGAGCAUGAACAUUAUAUCUGGAUCUUGUUUGAUGCGAGACGGUUAUCCAUUUAAAUCUGAGAAUAAUGGUUGUUCUAUUUAUAUGAGUAAUAUUUUUUAUGGUCAUCCACCCUUGAAGAGUGGUCUAUUUUUGAUGAAUCUCGAUAGUAGUGAUACACAUAUUCAUAAUAUUGAAGCUAAAAGAUGCAGAGUUAAUAAUGGUAGUGCAACUUAUUUGUGGCACUGCCGUUUAGGUCAUAUUGGUAUAAAGCGCAUGAAGAAACUCCAUUCUGAUGGACUUUUGGAAUCACUUGAUUAUGAAUCACUUGGUACUUGCGAACCAUGCCUCAUGGGCAAGAUGACUAAAACGCCAUUCUCCUAAACUAUGGAGCGAGCAACAGAUUUGUUGGAAAUCAUAGAUACUGAUGUGUGUGGUUCGAUGAAUGUUGAGGCUCGCAACGGGUAUCAUUAUUUUCUCACCUUCACAGAUGAUUUGAGUAGAGAUAUGGGUAUAUCUACUUGAUGAAACAAAGUUUGAAACAUUUGAAAAGUUCAAAUAAUUUCAUAGUGAAGUGGAAAAUCACCGUAACAAGAAAAUAAAGUUUCCACGAUCUGAUCGUGGAGGAGAAUAUUUGAGUUACGAGUUUGGUCUUCAUUUGAAACAAUGCGAAAUAGUUUCGCAAAUCACGCCACCCGGAACACCACAACGUAAUGGUGCGUUCGAAUGUCAUAAUCGUACUUUACUAGAUAUGGUACGAUCUAUGAUGUCUCUUACUGAUUUACCACUAUUGUUUUGGGGUUAUGCUUUAGAGACGGCUGCAUUCACGUUAAAUAGGGCACCAUCUAAAUCCGUUGAGACAACAACUUAUGAACUGUGGUUUGGCAAGAAACAAAAAUUGUCGUUUCUUAAAGUUUGGGGCUGCGAUGCUUAUGUGAAAAAGCUUCAACCUGAUAAGCUCGAACCCAAAUCGGAGAAAUGUGUCUUCAUAGGAUACCCAAAGGAGACUGUUGGGUACAUCUUCUAUCACAGAUCCGAAGGCAAGACAUUCAUUGCUAAGAAUGGAUCCUUUCUAGAGAAAGAGUUUCUCUCGAAAGAAGUGAGUGUGAGGAAAGUAGAACUUGAUGAGGUAACUGUACCUGCUCCCUUAUUGGAAAGUAGUUCAUCACAGAAAUCUAUUCUGAGGACUCCUACACCAAUUAGUGAGGAAGCUAAUGAUGAAGAUCAUGUAACUUCAGAUCAAGUUACUACCGAACCUCGUAGGUCAACCAGAGUAAUAUCCGCACCAGAGUGGUAUUGUAAUCCUGUUCUGGAAGUCAUAUUACUUGACCAUGACGAACCUACGAACUAUGAUGAAGCGAUGAUGAGCCCAGAUUCUGCAAAAUGGCUUGAGGCCAUGAAAUCUGAGAUGGGAUCCAUGUAUGAGAACAAAGUGUGGACUUUGGUUGACUUGCCCAAUGAUCAGCAAGCCAUCGACCAUCGAGAAUAAAUGGAUCUUCAAGAAGAAGACUGACGCUGACGGUAAUGUUAUUGUCUACAAAGCUCGACUUGUUGCAAAAGGUUUUCGACAAGUUCAAGGAGUUGACUAUGAUGAGACCUUCUCACCCCUAGCGAUGCUUAAAUCCGUCUGAAUCAUGUUAGCAAUUGCCGUAUUUUAUGAUUAUGAAAUUUGGCAAAUGGAUGUAAAGACUGCAUUCCUAAAUGGAUUUCUGGAAGAAGAGUUGUAUAUGAUGCAACCUGAAGGUUUUAUCGAUCCAAAGGGUGCUAACAAAGUGUGCAAACUCCAGCGAUCCAUCUAUGGACUGGUGCAAGCAUCUCGGAGUUGGAAUAAAUGUUUUGAUAGUGUGAUCAAAGCAUAUGCUUUUAUACAGACUUUUGGAGACGCCUGUAUUUACAAGAAAGUGAGUGGGAGCUCUGUAGCAUUUCUAAUAUUAUAUGUGGAUGACAUAUUGUUGAUUGGAAAUGAUAUUGAAUUUCUGGAUAGCAUAAAAGGAUACUUGAAUAAGAGUUUUUCAAUGAAAGACCUUGGUGAAGCUGCUUAUAUAUUGGGCAUCAAGAUCUAUAGAGAUAGAUCAAGACGCCUAAUUGGACCUUCACAAAGCACACUUGAUAAAGUUUUGAAGAAGUUCAAAAUGGAUCAAGCAAAGAAAGGGUUCUUGUCUGUGUUUCAAGGUGUGAAGUUGAGUUAGACUCAAUGCCCGACCACUGCAGAAGAUAGAGAUAAAAUGAAAGAUGUUCCCUAUGCAUCAGCCAAAGGCUCUAUCAUGUAUGCAAUGCUGUGUACCAGACCUGAUGUGUGCCUUGCUAUUAGUUUAGCAGGGAGGUACCAAAGUAAUCCAGGAGUGGAUCACUGGACAACGGUCAAGAACAUCCUGAAAUACCUGAAAAGGACUAAGGAUAUGUUUCUCGUUUAUGGAGGUGACAAAGAUCUUGUCGUAAAUGGUUAUGUUGAUGCAAGCUUUGACACUGAUCUAGAUGACUCUAAGUCACAAACCUGAUACAUAGUUAUAUUGAACGGUGGAGCUGUCAGUUGGUGCAGUUCUAAGCAAAGCAUUGUGGCGAGAUCUACGUGUGAAGCGAAGUACAUAGCUACUUCGGAAGCAGCAAAUGAAGGAGUCUGGAUGAAGGAGUUCAUAUCUGAUCUAGGUGUCAUACCUAGUGCAUCGAGUCUAAUGGAAAUCUUUUGUGACAAUACUGGUGCAAUUGCCUUGGCAAAGGAAUCCAGAUUUCACAAAAGAACCAAGCACAUCAAGAGACGCUUCAAUUCCAUCCGCGAUCAAGUCAAGGAGGGAGACAUUGAGAUUUGCAAAAUACAUACGGAUCUGAAUGUUGCAGACCCGUUGACUAAGCCUCUCUCACGAGCAACCAUGAUCAGCACCAAGACUCCAUGGGUGUUAGAAUCAUUACUGUGUAAUCUAGAUUAUUGACUCUAGUGCAAGUGGGAGACUGAAGGAAAUAUUCCCUAGAGGCAAUAAUAAAGUUGUUAUUUAUAUUUCCUUAUAUCACCAUAAAUGUUUAUCAUUCCUGCUAGAAUUGUAUUAACCGGAAACUUAGUACAUGUGUGAAUACAUAGACAAACAUACUGUCACUAGUUUGCCUCUACUUGACUAGCUCGUUAAAUCAAUGAUGGUUAUGUUUCCUAAUGAUAGACAUGGUUGUCAUUUAAUUAACGGGAUCACAUCAUUAGAGGAUGAUGUGAUUGACUUGACCCAUCCGUUAGGUUAGCACGAUGAUCGUUUAGUUUGUUGCUAUUGCUUUCUUCAUGACUUAUACAUGUUCCUAUGACUAUGAGAUUAUGCAACUCCCGAGUACCGGAGGAACACUUUGUGUGCUACCAAACAUCACAAUGUAACUGGGUGAUUAUAAAGGUGCUCUACAGGUAUCUCCGAUGGUACUUGUUGAGUUGGCAUAGAUCGAGAUUAGGAUUUGUCACUCCGAUUGUCGGAGAGGUAUCUCUGGGCCCUCUCGGUAAUGCACAUCACAAUAAGCCUUGCAAGCAAUGUAGCUAAUGAGUUAUUUACUGGAUGUAGCAUUACGGAACGAGUAAAGAGACUUGCCGAUAACGAGAUUGAACUAGGUAUUGAGAUACCGAUGAUCAAAUCUCGGGCAAGUAACAUACCGAUGACAAAGGGAACAACCUAUAUUGUUAUGCGGUUUGACCGAUAAAGAUCUUCGUAGAAUAUGUAGGAGCCAAUAUGAGCAUCCAGGUUCCUCUAUUGGUUAUUGACCUGAGACGAGUCUCGGUCAUGUCUACAUAGUUCUCGAACCCGUAGGGUCCGCACGCUUAACAUUCGGUGACGAUCAGUAUUAUGAGUUUAUGUGUUUUGAUGUACCGAAGGUAAUUCAGAGUCCCAGAUAUGAUCACGGACAUGACGAGGAGUCUCGAAAUGGUCGAUACAUAAAGAUCGAUAUAUUGGAUGACUAUGUUUGGACUUCGGAAGUGUUCCGGGCAAGUUCGGACAAAUACCGGAGUACCGGGGGGUUACCGGAACCCCCGUGGAGUGUAAUGGGUCUGUUGGGCCUUAGUGGAGAAGAGGAGGGGCGGCCAGGGCAGGCCGCGCACGCCCUCUCCCUCUAGUCCGAAUUGGACAAGGAGGGGGGGCCCUUUCCUUCCCCCUCUCUCCUCCUUCCCUCUGUCCUACUCCUACUCUUGGAAGGGUUGGAGUACUACUCCUGGUGGGAGUAGGACUCCCCUUGGGGCGUGCCUAGGAGGGCCGUCCUCUCCCCCUCCUCCACUCCUUUAUAUACGGGGGAGGGGGGCACCCCAUAGACACACAAGUUGAUCAGUUGAUCUUUUAGCUGUGUGCGGUGCCCCCCUCCACCAUAAUCCACCUCGGUUAUAUCGUAGCGGUGCUUAGGCGAAGCCCUGCGUCGGUAGCAUCAUCAUCACCGUCAUCACGCUGUCGUGCUGAUGGAACUCUCCCUCGAAGAUCCGCUGGAUCAGAGUUCGUGGGACCUCACCGAGCUGAACGUGUGCUGAACUCGGAGGUGUCGUACGUUCGGUACUUGGAUCGGUCGGGUCGUGAAGACGUACUACUACAUCAACCGCGUUCUCAUAACGCUUCCACUUACGGUCUACGAGGGUACAUGGACGACACUCUCCCCUCUCGUUGCUGUGCAUCACCAUGAUCUUGCGUGUGUGUAGGAUUUUUUUUGGAAUUACUGCGUUCCCCAACAUAAUACUGGAACGAAGUUCCACUGGAGAGGGGCCACUAGUUUCCCACGAGGAAACAGGGCACGACCACCCCCUAGGCGCACCCUGUUACCUUGUGGGGCCCAUGAGGCUCCGCUGACCCUAAUCUCAAUUCCAUAAAUACUGUAUUACCGAGAAAAAAUAAGAGAAGAAGUUUCAUCACAUUUUGCGAUAUGGAGCCCCCGCCACCUCCUGUUCUUCAUCGGGGGAGGGGGGCUGGUUUGGAGUCCGUUCGGGGCUCUAGAGAGGGGGAUUCAUCGCCAUCAUCAUUAUCAACCCUUCUCCAUCAACAAUUCCAUGAUGCUCACCAUCGGGAGUGAGUAAUUCCUUCGUAGGCUUGCUGGACGGUAAUGGAGUUGGAUGAGAUUUGUCAUGUAGUCGAGUCAAUUUGUUAGUGCUUGAUCCCUAGUAUCCACUAUGUUCUGAGAUUGAUGUUGCGAUGACUUUGCUAUGCUUAAUGCUUGUCACUAGGACUCGAGUGCCACGAUUUUAGAUCUGAACCCUCUAUGUUUUCAUGAAUAUAUUUGAGUUCUUGAUCAUGUCUGCUAGUUAUAUGCACUUGUUAUUAUUCUGAUCCAUAAACCCCAAAGUGACAAUAGUUGGUAUACUCUUCGGGGAUGACUGUAAUCCAAGGAGUUCAUGUAUUCACCAUGUGUUAGUGCUUUGUUCUUGUUCUCUAUUAAAAUGAGGUCUUAAUAUCCCUUAGUUUUCUUAUGGACCCCGCUGCCACGGGAGGGUAAUGUUGGGAAACGUAACGUGGAAUUAAAAAAAAAAUCCUACGCUCACGCAAGAUCUAUAUAGGAGAUGUAUAGCAACGAGAGGGGGAGAGUGUGUCCACGUACCCUUGUAGACCGAAAGCGGAAGCGUUUGACAACGCGGUUGAUGUAGUCGAACUUCUUCUCGUUCCGACUGAUCAAGCAUCGAACGUAGGACACCUCCGAGUUCUGCACACGUUCAGCUUGAUGACGUCCCUCGAACUCUUGAUCCAGUAAAGUGUCGAGGGAGAGUUUCAUCAGCAUGAUGGCGUGGUGAUGGUGAUGGUGAAGUGAUCCGCGCAGGGCUUCGCCUAAGCACUACAACAAUAUGACCGGAGGCGUAAGCCAUGGAGGGGGGCGCCGCACACGGCUAACAGAUGUUGUUGUAUGUUCUAGCGGUGCCCCCCAUAUAUAUAGGUUGGAGGGGAGGAGAGGCAGCCAAGGGGGCGCCCCAAGUAGGAGGAAUCCUACUUGGGCGCCUCCCAAUUCGGCCUCCCCCCUUCCAUAUUCAUCCGGAGGGGGAAGGAAGGAGGAGGGAGGAGAGAAGGAAGGGGGAGGCCGAAUUGCUCCCCUUCCUUUCUCUCUUCCCCUCUCUCCUUCCCCUUUAUUUCGGCCUACAUGGGGUGCACCAGCCCCCUAGGGGCUGGUCUAUCCCCUUCUUGGCCCAUUAGGCCCAUGUAGUUGCCCGGAACCCCUUCCGGUGACCAGAUAUGUACUCGGUACCCCAGGAACACUUUCGGUGUCCAAAUAUCAACGUCCAAUAUAUGAAUCUUUACCUCUUGACCAUUUGGAGACUCCUCGUCAUGUCCUGAUCUCAUCUGGGACUCCGAACAACAUUCGGUCAUCAAAUCACAUAACUCAUAUAAUACAGAAUCGUCAUCGAACGUUAAGCGUGCGGACCCUACGGGUUCGAGAACUAUGUAGACAUGACCGAGACACCUCUCUGGUCAAUAACCAAUAGCGGAACCUGGAUGCUCAUGGUUACCACAUAUUCUAUGAAGAUCUUUAUCGGUCAUACCGUAAUGACAACAUACGUUAUUCCCUUUGUCAUCGGUAUGUUACUUGCCCGAGAUAUGAUCAUCGGUAUCUUCAUACCUAGUUCAAUCUUGUUGCCGGCAAGUCUCUUUACUCGUUCCGCAAUGCAUCAUCCCGCAACUAACUCAUUAGUCACAUUGCUUGCAAGGCUUCUUAUGAUGUGUAUUACCGAGAGGGCCCAGAGAUACCUCUUCGAUAGUCGGAGUGACAAAUCCUAAUCCCGAUCUAUGCCAACCCAACAAACAUCUUCGGAGAUACAUGUAGAGCAUAUUUAUAAUGACCCAGUUACAUUGUGACGUUUGAUAGAACACAAGGUAUUCCUCCGGUAUCCAGGAGUUGCAUAAUCUCAUAGUCGAAGGAAUAUGUAUUUGACAUGAAGAAAGCAAUAGCAAUAAAACUGAACGAUCAAUAUGCUAAGCUGACGGAUGGGUCCUAUACAUCACAUCAUUCUCCUAGUGAUGUGAUCCUGUUCAUCAAAUGACAACACAUGUCUAUGGUUAGGAAGCUUAACCAUCUUUGAUUAACGAGCUAUUCUAGUAGAGGCUUACUAGGGACACGGUGUUCUGUCUAUGUAUCCACACAUGUAUCAAGUUUCCGGUUAAUACAAUUCUAGCAUGAAUAAUAAACAUUUAUCAUGAUAUAAGGAAAUAUAAAAUAACAACUUUAUUAUUGCCUCUAGGGCAUAUUUCCUUCAGUCUCCCACUUGCACUAGAGUCAAUAAUCUAGUUCACAUCACCAUGUGAUUUAACACCAAUAGUUCACAUCUUUAUGUGAUUAACAACCAUAGUUCACAUCGCCAUGUGACCAACACCCAAAAGGGUUUACUAGAGUCAAUAAUCUAGUUCACAUCGCUACGUGAUUAACACCCGAAGAGUACUAAGGUGUGAUCAUGUUUUGCUUGUGAGAGAAGUUUAGUCAAUGGGUCUGCCACAUUCAGAUCCGUAUGUAUUUUGCAAAUUUCUAUGUCUACAAUGCUCUGCAUGGACCUACUCUAGCUAAUUGCUCCCAUGUUCAAUACGUAUCUAUAUUGAGACUUGGAGUCAUCUAGAUCAGUGUCAAAUCUUGCAUUGACGUAACUCUUGACGACAAACUCUUUGUCACCUCCAUAACCGAGAAACAUUUCCUUAGUCCUCUUUCGGUACCUAAGGAUAAUUUUGACCGAUGUGCAGUGAUCUACUCUUGGAUCACUAUUGUACCCCCUUGCCAAACUCAUGGCAAGAAACACAAUAGUUCAGGUACACAGGAUGGCAUACUUUAUAGAACCUAUGGUUGAGGCAUAGGGAAUGACUUUCAUUCUCUCUCUAUCUUCUGCCGUGGUCGGGUUUUGAGUCUUACUCAACUUCACACCUUGCAACACAGACAAGAACCCUUUCUUUGACUGAUCUAUUUUGAACUUCUUCAAUUUUUUUUGCCAAGGUAUUGCUUUGUGAAAGUCCUAUUAAGUAUCUCGAUCUAUCCCUAUAGAUCUUGAUGCCCAAUAUUUAAGUAGUUUCACCAAGGUCUUUCAUUGAAAAAUUCUUAUUCAAGUAUCCUUUUAUGCUAUCCAGAAAUUCUAUAUCAUUUCUGAUCAACAAUAUGUCAUCCACAUAUACUAUCAGAAAUGCUACAGAGCUCACACUCACUUUCUUGUAAAUACAUGCUUCUCAGAAAGUCCGUAUAAAACCAUAUGCUUUGAUCACCUCAUUAAAGCGUAUAUUCCAACUCCGAGAUGCUUGCACCAGUCCAUAAAUGGAUUGCUGGAGCUUGCACACUUUGUUAGCACCUUUAGGAUUGACAAAACCUUCUAGUUGCAUCAUAUACAACUCUUCUUUAAGAAAUCCAUUAAGGAAUGCAGUUUUGACGUCCAUUUGCUAGAUUUCAUAAUCACAAAAUGUGGCAAUUGCUAACAUGAUUCAGACAGACUUAAGCAUUGCUACAGGUGAGAAGGUCUCUGUCGGUGUCAAAACCGGUGGAUCUCGGGCAGGGGGUCCCGAACUGUGCGUCUAAGGCGGAUGGUAAUAGGAGGCAGGGGACACGAUGUUUUACCCAGGUUCGGGCCCUCUUGAUGGAGGUAAAACCCUACGUCCUGCUUGAUUUAUUCUUGAUGAUAUGAGUAUUACAAGAGUUGAUCUACCACGAGAUCGGAGAGGCUAAACCCUAGAAGCUAGCCUAUGGUAUGAUAGUAUGUUGUCCUAUGGACUAAAACCCUCCGGUUUAUAUAGACACCGGAGGGGGUUAGGGUUACACAAGGUCGGUUUACAAAGGAGGAGAUAUCCAUAUCCGUACUGCCUAGCUUGCCUUCAAUGCCAAGUAGAGUCCCAUCCGGACAUGAGACGAAGUCUUCAAUCUUGUAUCUUCAUAUUCCAACAGUCCGGCCAAAGGAUAUAGUCCGGCUGUCCGGAGACCCCCUAAUCCAGGACUCCCUUAGUAGCCCCUGAACUAGGCUUCAAUGACGAUGAGUCCGACGCGCAGUGUUGUCUUCAGCAUUGCAAGGCGGGUUCCUCCUCCGGAUACACCACAGAAGAGUUUGAAUGAAAGGAUAGUGUCCGACCCUGCAAAGUAAGUCCAACAUACCACCGUAGAGAGAAUAAUAUUUCCACAAAUCUAAUCUGCUGACAUGUUUUUGCAACAUGACAUCAUGCCAUGGCUCAGCGAUUAUUCGAACCAUUUUUCUUUAACCAGCCCCACACAUAACGCGAGGCGGUUUCUUGACACGUCUUGUCAAAGCAGAGAUCGUGUCCCCCUUAUUACGGGAUUCUCAUCAAUACGGGUGUGGGUAACCCAAUCGCGCCAUCAAUUGCGGCUUUUGGGGGAUAAGAGAGUUUCACCAGGCUAGUGGGGGAGCAUAGUUUCGUCCGUCCUUAUAAAGGGAUAAGGUUUUACCUUUUUCUACCCACGCCUUCUUCCUCCUUGCUCAUCCAUUCUCGCGCACUCGAGCUCCAACGACCAAGUCCACAUCCUUCUCCUCAACCUUCCCCAAACAUGUCCGGAGCUGGAGGCAAGUGAAUGGCUUCCUCCGUUACGGAGGGACACAUCAAAAAGUUGCGCGGAGCCGGAUACUUAUCCGCGAAUAUCGCGCAUCGGCUGCCCGCUGCGAGGCAGAUCGUCCCCACCCCGGAACCUGACGAGAGGGUAGUCUUCCUCCACCACUUCCUCCGCGGACUGGGGUUUCCCCUCCAUUCAUUCGUAUGUGGUCUUAUGUUCUACUACGGGCUGGACUUUCAUGAUCUGGCCCCGAACUUCAUCCUCAACAUUUCGGCGUUCAUCGUCGUGCGUGAGGCUUUCCUCCGCAUCCGGCCCCACUUCGGCCUAUGGCUGAAGACCUUCAAUAUCAAGCCGAAGGUGGUGGGAGGCCAACAAGCAGAAUGCGGCAGAGCCAUGGUGGGCAAGAUGCCCAAUGUUAUAUGGCUCGAAGGCUCCUUCGUGGAGACCAUAAAGGGAUGGCAAUCAGCAUGGUUCUACAUCACCGAGCCGCGUGACACCAACUGGGUGGUGGCCCCCAAGUUUCGAUCUGGAAUCCCCACACGGCUCACCUCCUGGAAAGAGAAGGGCCUGUCCUGGGGUUCAUCGGUGGAGCUGGAUGGACUCCAGAAAUGUAUCUGGAAUAUGGCAAGCAAGAAGCUCAAGCUUGUCAACAUAGUCCAGGUCAUGCUCAUCCGCCGGAUCCUCCCAUGUCAACAACGGGAUUUUAAUUUAUGGGAGUUUGACCCGGCCCAACACCAGACUCUAAGCGAGCUCUUCGACACGACGCACAAGGACGUCUGGAGGGUGCUGUUCAGGGGCGUCGAGGUCCCUGCUUCUCUUACCGAGGACCGCGGGCUAAGCGCAAAGCGCCUAGCGCAUUCGAUGAGUUCUAUACAUCCCGUAGGAUAUUUAUUUCCCCUAGCUUAACCAUGUGCGGGGUCUGAGGUCCAUUCCUUUGACAAGACUGGGUGGAGACGUCAGGGCAGAUUAACUGUCCGACCCCUCUGCCCGAAGACACUGCAGACACUCUCCUGACAGAGACGCUGACUCCGGCUCCUUACAAGGUGCCGGAGAAGACCAAGAAGGCCAAGGGAACCCGAAAGCCAGGUGGUAUCGGACUCAUCGUCCGAUGACUCCGUGACGCACUCCUCCCCCGAAGACNNNNNNNNNNNNNNNNNNNNNNNNNNNNNNNNNNNNNNNNNNNNNNNNNNNNNNNNNNNNNNNNNNNNNNNNNNNNNNNNNNNNNNNNNNNNNNNNNNNNNNNNNNNNNNNNNNNNNNNNNNNNNNNNNNNNNNNNNNNNNNNNNNNNNNNNNNNNNNNNNNNNNNNNNNNNNNNNNNNNNNNNNNNNNNNNNNNNNNNNNNNNNNNNNNNNNNNNNNNNNNNNNNNNNNNNNNNNNNNNNNNNNNNNNNNNNNNUCCGGACUACUCCACCACCGCCGCCGAAGGCGAAGACGAGUGGCUGCUCAGGGCCAAGCCCCUGGCGAAGUCGUAAGUAUUCGGAUACCAGAGUAACUCAUAGCAUACCUUUGUCGCACUGCUUCUCCUAAUGGCGAAUUAUGAUUAUGCAGACCGCCUCGAGCCCGUAUCGACGUAUCCUCGUCGGACGGCUCCCUAGAAUCGUCUGAUAUGGAUAGCGAUCCACUUCCGACCGCCACCUCCCCUUGCCCUACGGACAACACCGAGGUGUUGUCUCAAGAGGCACCGGGUCGAGGGGAGACAGUCCCAGAGGCGCCUCAAGGCGACCUUCCGGACUCCGGGAGCAGAGGGAGCAAGGCUCCCGAGGGCUCCGAGUUCGGCCCUCAGCCGAACACCACGCCGGAACCUCCAGUGGUUCCGGACUCGGGUAGGCGGCCUCCUUCCAAAAGGGGCAAGACGCCUAUGCCGGUGACCUCUGUCCAUCUAGAGGCACCGGACAAUCUGUCGGGAGCGCUUCGCAGCGCUUCCAUCGACAAAGAGCACCACACUAUUAUGAGUGCGAUGAUCCAGAAGGUUCAGUCUGCCAAGAGCGGACUGACUGAAGCCUGUGCCAGCCUUCUAACUGCCUUUGAGGUAAGUAUUUGAAAUAUAGGAAAAAUAUUACCGCAUAGACAGUAGCCCCUGAUGCUCUGUUUGGUGUUCAAAAAGAAAAGCCGAAUAGAGGAUCAACUAAUAUCUACAGGAGUCUAAUAUAAGUAUGUCUAUAUGCAUAUGCAGGCUUCACUGCUGACCUGUGCCGCACUGACUGCGGAGGUCGCCGUACUGAAGCAGGACCUCGAAGGGUCCAAGAAAGAGCUCGGCCUUGCCAAGAGGCAGCUCGAGGAGAACAAAGGUAAGUAAUACCUAGUCUAUAAAUGUGUAUAUAUACAAAAAGGAUGCGAUUGCAAAAUGAUAGGAUCAUCUUUAAUUUGCCAGGGGCCACGACUGAAGUGGCAACCCUAAAGCAAGCGCUAUCCGAGGCCAAAAACAAAGAAGCCCAGGAGCGCACCGAGCAGGAAAAACAAGAGGCACGACUGGGCGAGGUGCAGCAAGAGCUCCACGCUCUCGUGACGAAGCACGAGGCGUUGGAGCUUGACUUGAAGACGCGAGAGGCCGAGCUCGCCGCGGCCAUUGAGAGUGCAAAGAGUCCAAGGCCGAAGCCCAAAAGGCUCCAGGAGAUUGAUGCGAUCAAGAAGAUAGCGUCGGGUAAGGCAUUCUAUAUGCAAAGCAAGCAUGUGAAAGUAAAUUACUUGUUACUUACCCGAAUCCGGAGCUCUCCAGGAGCGUUCACAGAUUUGCCCUGCAGCAUGUCGGAUGCCGCACAGUUUUACCAGGCCGAGGAGGGAAGCUCAACGGAGAAGCUGUUCUGGUCUCAGUAUACUGGGACCGAACACCCGAUGCCUCUGAGCGACCAGCUGAAGCAACUGGUCGAGCUACACAAGGCGGCCGAACAAGCCAUGAAGGGCUUUAUAGUCCGGAUGUGGCCUGGUGACGCCCUUCCCAACAACUACUUUGGCCUGGUGAGGCGUCUUGUGGAUGCCUGUCCACGGCUGGUAGUCAUUAAGCGGUCCAUCUGUAUCGACGGUGCACGUCGGGCUUUCGCCCGUGUCAAGGUGCAAUGGGCCAAGAUGGACGCCGUGAAGCUGGUGAAGGAAGGGCCGCCGGUGGGCAAGGAGCAUCACCACCCCGAGAUGUACUAUGAGGGUGUCCUGAAGGGUGCCCGUCUCGUAGCGGACGAGUGUGCGGAAGAUGUAAUAUUUGAGUAAACUUUCUCGUAUAAUCCUGUAUUAUGAAAACUUGUUCAUAUGCGCUAUGCAACGCUUGUUUGAAUUUAAAAUAUUACCUUCUGUUCGGCUGUUUAUCAAAUCUUAGAGAUGGCUAGUCGUCGGCUUCUGCCCCCAUGCCACGAGUGCUGGGGUGUUCGGGAUAAACCUGAGCACUCUUGUUCCCAUUUUUGGGUCCUUCGAGGGAGGUGCUCAGCACAACAAACAAGGCAAUCAGACUAUAAUGCGUUAUCACUCUCACUUAGCCAUAGAAUUCUAUAAUUUUAAAUUUCGGUGAAGCCCCUAGUAUUCGGAAGGCCGAAUUCGGGGCGCUAUACACGCCUUAAGCCGGACAGGGCCGACUCCUCGCUCUAAGCGGCAUAAGUCUUUAGGGACUUGAAACCUCUCGAACAGCGACCAGUCUCUCGCCUUAUCAUGACAGUCAGUUUUAGCUUUCUCUACUGAGGUGCUUAGCCCAGCAGAACCGGGGCACAAUCGCAGUAGUUCUCCUAGUUCUACCUUAGCCGAUAUAGCGGACCGUAAGGUACCAAAACAUGGGAGCCGGGCAAACCCAACUAUUGACCCAAGACAUGAUUUAGAGCUGAUGCAUAUAAUGCUAUAAGUUCGGGGUGCCGCACAAUCAAAAGUGUUCAGACUUCUCACACCGUAUUAUGGGGUAUGCUUAAGCCCCUAGCGUAUUGGCCGUACCAGAGUGUACGGGUGCUAGAUGUCAUGAAUGAACGUAGCUUUCUGCAUUGUUUAUUCAAAAAGGUUCAUUAAAGCAGAAUGAUACAGGUAGUGCGAUAAGCAAAAAGUAGGACUAUGUCCCCUCCAAGGGCAAGCUGAGGAAUAGUAUUAAAGCAAGUAUUUCACUCAUUAUCGUAAUCCACCUGGGAGUUCCGUGGUGUGACGUAGCUUUCUGCCUCCUUGGUUGCUGCAUCAUGUGUUCGACAAUCAUGCUGCCGGACAGGGUUUCUAGAGAUUAACGUCUUGAAAGAGAAAAAUAACAAAGCGGGAAGCCCCUAGUGCGGUUUAAGCCGCGUCUUGGAGCGUGCCACAGUCAUGCCCCCUCCCCAACUAUGCCCAUGGUAUUUUUAAUGCGUAAUUAUGUACGCGUGGCACGGAUUUCGCCGUUGGCUGGGACCGGGGUGGGGGCCGCAUUGCUAUGCGAGCUCGGAACAUGCCAGGCGGUCCCGUUGCCGAUUACUCCGGGUGCGCUUGAAGUUGUCCGGGUCCUUAAUCGCCGAACUAGUGGAUUGCCUUAAGAGGCUGCUUUGCGCUUCUGCUGUGAGGGCCACAAUGUGCUCCUCCGUUCGAAGAGAGUGCUCUGUGUUUCCAUUAACUGUAAUGACCCCCCGAGGUCCUGGCAUCUUGAGCUUGAGGUAUGCAUAAUGCGGUACCGCAUUGAAUCUCGCAAAUGCGGUUCGCCCGAGCAGUGCAUGAUAGCCACUGCGGAACGAGACUAUAUCGAAGAUUAACUCUUCGCUUCGAAAGUUAUCCGGGGAUCCGAAGACCACUUCCAGUGUGACUGAGCCUGUGCAAUGGGCCUCUACACCUGGUAUGACGCCUUUAAAGGUCGUUUUUGUGGGUUUGAUCCUUGAGGGGUCUAUACCCAUUUUGCGCACUGUGUCCUAAUAAAGCAGGUUCAGGCUGCUGCCGCCAUCCAUAAGGACUCGAGUGAGGUGAAAUCUGUCAAUGAUUGGGUCUAGGACCAGUGUGGCGAAUCCGCCAUGACGGAUACUAGUGGGGUGGUCCCUGCGAUCGAAGGUGAUCGGACAGGAGGACCAUGGGUUGAACUUUGGGGCGACUAGCUCCAACGCAUAUACGUCCCUGAGCGCAUGCUUCCGCUCCCUCUUGGGGAUGUGGGUUGCGUAUAUCAUGUUCACCGUCCGCACCUGUGGGGGGAACCUCUUCUGUCCUUCGGUGUUCGGCUGCCGGGGCUCCUUCUCGUCAUUGCUAUGUGAUCCCUUAUCUUUGUUUUCGGCAUUAAACUUGUCGGCCUGCUUGAACACCCAACAAUCCCUGUUGGUGUGGUUGGCUGGCUUGUCGGGGGUGCCGUGUAUUUGGCACGAGCGAUCAAGUAUACGGUCCAAACUGAACGGGCCCGGAGUGCUUCUUUUGAAUGGCUUUUUCCGCUGACCGGGUUUAGAGCCUUUGAAUCCGGCAUUGACUGUCGUAUCCUCGGUAUUGUCGUUGUUAAUGCGGCGCUUAUGUUUGUUGCUACAUGACCUGCCAUUGUCGUCCUUGGUAUUCGAAGUACCAUGUUUCUUUGAUAUGUUAUUGCUGCGAGCCAACCAACUGUCCUCUCCUGCACAAAAGCGGGUCAUGAGUGUCGUGAGGGCUGCCAUAGAUUUCGGCUUUUCCUGACCAAGGUGCCGGGCGAGCCACUCAUCGCGGAUGUUGUGCUUAAAAGCUGCUAGGGCCUCUGCAUCCGGACAGUCGAUGAUUUGAUUUUUCUUUGUUAGGAACCGUGUCCAGAAUUGCCUGGCCGAUUCCUCUGGCUGCUGAAUUAUGUGGCUUAAGUCAUCGACAUCUGGUGGUCGCACAUAAGUGCCCUGAAAGUUGUCGUCGAAUGCGACUUCCAGAUCUUCCCAACAACCAAUGGACUCUACUGGCAAGCUGUUGAGCCAAUGUCGAGCUGGUCCUUUGAGUUUGAGUGGGAGGUAUUUGAUUGCGUGUAGGUCAUCACCGCGGGCCAUGUGAAUGUGCAGGAGGAAAUCCUCGAUCCAUACCGCGGGAUCUGUUGUGCUGUCGUAUGAUUCUUUAUUUAUGGGUUUGAAACCCUCUGGGAUUUGAUGAUCCAUUACUUCGUCUGUGAAGCAUAAGGGGUGUGCGACACCUCUGUACUGGGCUAUAUCGCGACGCAGCUCAAAUGAGUCUUGCCCGCUGUGUUCGGCCCGGUCGGACUUACUUUUACUGUAUCCAGCGUGACGAUUAUCGUCUCGCAUAGUGGCGCGCCCUCGUGAUCCGUAGAUCGAUCUUGCAUGUUUUGCUUUGUCCUCCAAUACAUCUCGCAGGUCUGGCGUAUUUCCCCAUACCUUUUUAUUUGAAUUGCAUCGGGGUGCGGGUUGAGCUUUUGGCUGGAAUGCCUCUUUGUCGCGGCCACGAGGUGGCCGAUCAGCCGCGUCAUACGCCGGGGAUGUAGGUUUUGGUGCUUCCUCCUCCAGUCGGGGUAGCAACCUGCAUUUUUGGUAACUCUUGGAGGGGCGUUCGAGUUUAUAUUCCUCGGCCGCAAGGACUUCAGUCCAUGUGUCCGCUAGCAAAUCUUGAUCAGCUUGAAGCUGCUGCUGCUUUUUCUUAAGGCUAUUUGCCGUGGCUAUAAGCCGGCGCUUGAAGUGCUCUUGUUCGAUGGGAUCCUCUGGCACGACGAAUUCGUCAUCAUCGAGGCUUGCCUCGUCUUUGGAGGGAGGCAUGUAAUUAUCAUCCUCCGCCUCUCCAUCUGCCGCUCUAUUAGGAGGGCUGGCUUCUCCAUCCUCCUGCUCUAAAUCUUGCUAGAGGGGAUUGUUGUUGUCUUCGGCACUGUCCGGAGUGCUAUCAUCUCCUGUGCCGGUAUCGCCACUUUUGCCUUGGAGGGACUUAGAGUGGCGCUGCUGACGUCGGCGCUUGGGUUGCUUCUUGGAGGGGUCAUCCUCUGUUGUCUCGUCGCCAUUGCCUUCUUUGGGUGUGUCCACCAUUUAUAUAUCGUAUGAUGAGGUGGCUGUCCAAUGCCCUGUGGCCAGUGGUUCCACUUCGUCUCCCGCAUUGUCGUCCAUACCGUAGAUGUCUUCGUAUUCGAAGUCGAGCAUGUCGGUUAAGUCAUCGAUAGUGGCUACUAAGUGGGUGGUGGGUGGGCGGCGAAUUUCUUCGUCAUCCGCAUCCCAAUCCUGCCGGACAUAGUUCGGCCAGGAUCCUCCUGACAAGGAGAGAGACCUUAAUGAGUUCAGUAUGUCGCCGAAGGGCGAGUGCUGAAAAUAUCCAUGGAGGUAAACUCCAUGAUCGGCGCCCACUCGGAUUCGAUGGGAACGGGCGCAGGCGGUUCGGAGUCUGUGGCCGGAGAAGGAUCCGACAGUUUGACAACACGGCUCUCGUGAAGGGUAAGGUCAAUAUUCGGCUCGAUCGCCGCUGAGGAUACGACCUCCGUGACGAGGUCUAUCCACCCGUCCAUGGAUGGCGCAACUGGCUCCGAAUUGAGGCUCGGAGCGGCUGCCAGUGCGAUCUCCUGAAUACGGUCCGAUGGCAGAGCUAAAUCGUACUCAUCGUGACCGCGUGGCGCACAAGGCAGGGGAUCGAAUCCGUCGAAGAUCAAGUCUCCGCGGACAUUGGCUGUGUAAUUUAAGCUUCCAAACCUGACCUGGUGGCCAGGGGCGUAACUUUCGAUCUGAUCCAGAUGGCCAAGCGAGUUGGCCCACAGUGCGAAGCCGCCGAACACAAAGAUUUGUCCGGGGAGAAAAGUCUCACCCUGGACUGCAUCGCUAUCGAUGAUAGUAGGAGCCAUCAAGCCUAACGGCGACGACACAGAGGAACUCUCAAUGAAAGCACCAAUGUCGGUGUCAAAACCGGCGGAUCUCGGGUAGGGGGUCCCGAACUGUGCGUCUAAGGCGGAUGGUAACAGGAGGCAGGGGACACAAUGUUUUACCCAGGUUCGGGCCCUCUUGAUGGAGGUAAAACCCUAUGUCCUGCUUGAUUUAUUCUUGAUGAUAUGAGUAUUACAAGAGUUGAUCUACCACAAGAUCGGAGAGGCUAAACCCUAGAAGCUAGCCUAUGGUAUGAUUGUAUGUUGUCCUACGGACUAAAACCCUCUGGAUAGACACCGGAGGGGGUUAGGGUUACACAAGGUCGGUUUACAAAGGAGGAGAUAUCCAUAUCCGUACUACCUAGCUUGCCUUCCAUGCAAAGUAGAGUCCCAUCUGGACAGGAGACGGAGUCUUCAAUCUUGUAUCUUCAUAGUCCAACAGUCCGGCCAAAGGAUAUAGUCCGGCUGUCCGGAGACCCCCUAAUCCAGGACUCCCUCAGUCUCAUCAUAGUCAACUCCUUGAAGUUGUCGAAAACCUUUCGAAACAAGUUGAGCUUUGUAGACAGUAACAUUAACAUCAAUGUCAGUCUUCUUGAAGAUCCAUUUAUUCUCUAUGGCUCACUGAUCAUCGGGCAAGUCAACCAAAGUCCACACUUUGUUCUCAUACAUGGAUCCUAUCUCAGAUUUCAUGGCUUCAAGCCAUUUAUCGGAAUCUGGGCUCAUCAUCGCUUCUUCAUAAUUCGUAGGUUUGUCAUGGUCUAGUAACAUUGACUUCCAGAACAGGAUUACCGUGCCACUCUGGUGCAGAACAUGCUCUGGUUGACCUACGAGGUUCGGUAGUAACUUGAUCUGAAGUUUCAUGAUCAUUAUCAUUAGCUUCCUCUCUAGUUAGUGUAGGCAUCACUGGAACGGUUUUCUAUGAUGAGCUACUUUCCAAUUCCAUAGAAGGUACAAUUACCUCAUCAAGUUCUACUUUCCUCCCACUCACUUCUUUCGAGAGAAACUCCUUCUCUAGAAAGGAUCCAUUCUUAGCAACAAAGAUCUUGCCUUCAGAUCUGUUAUAGAAGGUGUACCCAAUAAUUUCUUUUGGGUAUCCUAUGAAGACGCACUUCUUUGAUUUGGGUUCGAGCUUAUCAGGCUGAAGCUUUUUCACAUAAGCAUCACAACCCCAAACUUUUAGAAACGAUAGCUUAGAUUUUUUGCUAAACCAUAGUUCAUACGGUGUCAUCCCAACGGAUUUAGACGGUGCCCUAUUUAAAUGAAUGUAGUUGUCUCUAAUGCAUAACCCCAAAAUGAUAGUGGUAAAUUGGUAAGAGACAUCAUAGAUCGCACCGUAUCUAAUAAAGUGUGGUUACGACAUUCGAACAUACCAUUACGCUGUGGCGUUCCAGGUGGCGUGAGUUGUGAAACUAUUCCACAUUGUUUUAAGUGAAGGCCAAACUCGUAACUCAAAUAUUCGCCUCCGUGAUCAGAUCAUAGAAACUUUAUUUUCUUGUUAGGAUGAUUCUCCACUUCACUCAGAAAUUCUUCGAACUUUUCAAAUGUUUGAGACUUGUGUUUCAUUAAGCAGAUAUACCCAUAUCUGCUCAAAUCAUCCGUGAAGGUCAGAAAAUAACGAUACCUGCCACGAGCCUCAACACUCAUCGUACCGCAUACACCAGUAUAUAUUAUUUUCCAUAAGUCAUUAGUUCGCUCCAUUCUUCCGAAGAACGGAGUUUUAGUCAUCUUUCCCAUGAGGCAUGGUUCGCAAGUAUCAAAUGAUUCGUAAUCAAGUGAUUCCGAAAGCCCAUCUGCAUGGAUUUUCUUCAUGCGCUUUACACUAAUAUGACCUAAACGGUAGUGCCACAAAUAUGUUGCACUAUCAUUAUCAACUUUGCAUCUUUUGGCAUCAAUAUUAUGAAUAUUUGUAAUACCACAUUCGAGAUUCAAUAAACCAUUUACAUUGGGUGUAUGACCAUAGAAGGUUUUAUUUAUGUAAACAGAACAACAAUUAUUUUUUGACUUAAAUGAAUAACCGUAUCGCAAUAAACACGAUCCAUUCAUAUUCAUGCUCAACGCAAACACCAAAUAACAUUUAUUUAGGUCCAACACUAACCCCGAAGGUAGUGGGAGUGUUCGAUGGUGAUCUUAUCAACCUUGGAAUCACUUCCAACACACAUUGUCACCUCGCCUUUAACUAGUCUCUGUUCAUUUUGUAACUCCUGUUUCGAGUUACUAAUCUUAGCAACUAAACCGGUAUCAAAUACCCUAGGGUUACUAUGCACACCUAUAAAGUACACAUCAAUAACAUGUAUAUCAAAUAUAAUUUUGUUUACUUUCCCAUCCUUCUUAUCCGCCAAGUAUUUGGGGUAGUUCCGCUUCCAGUGACCAUUCCCUUUGUAGUAUAAGCACUCAGUUUUAGGCUUAGGUCUAGCUUUUGGGCUUCUUCACAGGAGUGGAAACUUGCUUUCCAUUGUUCUUGAAGUUCCCUCUCUUUCCUUUUUCCCUUUUUCUUGAAACUAGUGGUCUUGUCAACCAUCAGCACUUGAUGCUUUUUCUUGAUUUCUACCUUCGCCGACUUCAGCAUCGCGAAGAGCUGGGAAUCAUUUUCGUCACCCCUUGCAUAUUGUAGUUCAUCACGAAGUUCUAGUAGCUUGGUGAUAGUGACUAGAGAAUUCUGUCAAUCACUAUCUUAUCUGGAAGAUUAACUCCCACUUGAUUCAAGUGAUUGUAGUACCCAGACAUUCUGAGCACAUGCUCACUGGUUGAGCUAUUCUCCUCCAUCUGUAGGCAAAGUACUUGUCAGAGGUCUCAUACCUGUCGACACGGGCAUGAGUUUGAAAUAUCAAUUUCAGCUCUUGGAACAUCUCAUAUGCUCUGUGGUGUUCAAAACAUUUUUGAAGUCCCGGUUCUAAGUCGUAUAGUAUGGUGCACUAAAUUAUCAAGUAGUCAUCAUACCGAACUUGUCAAACGUUCAUAACGUAUGCAUCUGCUCCCGCAAUAGGUCUGUCACCUAGCGGUGCAUCAAGGACACAAUUAUUCUAUGCAGCAACGAGGAUAAUCCUUAGUGUGACGCCCGAAUAUUUAAGCUACAGUAACCCUCUAGUAAUGACACCACAUCACCAUGAUUACUGUUGAUAAAUUCGCAUUGAUUCAAACCCCGUUCAAAUUCAAUUUUAAAAUCAAGUCAAACUUUAAAAGUUUUCAAAUGUCAAAACUAAAAUGUUCAUCAUGUGGAAAAAUAAUUCCUAACUAAUUUUGGUGAUGGAACCAAUAUUUUUAUAAAGUGGUUUAAUGCCCUAAACUAAUUAAAUGGGGUCCAAGUUAAUAUUUUGUGGCCUUUUAUUUUAAGUAUUUUCCAAAUUGUUUUAGGUACCCCCCAAAGCUUUUGUGACAGUGCCUAACAGUACAACACUAAUUUUGGACCAAGUUCCAUUUUGUGCAAAAGUCAACUGCUAUUUUAAAAAUAAAUGCAGACAAUAAUAGAAAAACUAAAACAGAAAAGAAAAAUUGAAAAUAAAAGAAAUACACUAUGCACUUACCCGGCCCAGCACAUCCAAUGCUAGGCCCAGCCCACCGCUCCAGCCGUUGUCUUCUCCAUCACCGUGGUAGCAUCGUGCGCGCCCGCGGCCGAUGCCGCUGACGGAUCAAUGCCAUCGAGGCUACAGGGCGCUAGAGGGGGGGAUAAAAGCCGUCCCAGUGCCCACUGGAACCCUAGCUCCCCCCACUUUCCCUUUCCCUCAUCCGCUCUCUCCUCUGCACGAGUCGGAAGCACUGCCACCAUGGUCUCCGUCGACCCCGCGGCCACUGAGCCCCGUUCGCCUCCCCGAUGUUCUCAUCGGCUUCCUUGUCGUCGUCCACAUUGCCUACGCCAUCGGGGUCGAGCCAAGCGCCUCUCCUCUGACUGGAACGCACUCGUCUUCAACCUUCGGAUUUCCGGCGUUUGUCACCAAUUUCGGCUAUCUCACGCCCUCCCCGAGCUCGCUACCACUCCCUACAGCUUUGCUAUGAGCCCUCGCUCCUCCUCGACCUACCCUUACUCCUUCCCGUGCCAUGUAGGCUAGUACCCAUAUAGCACUGCCGUCAUCGCCGUCUGACGUCGCCGUCCCGUUCACUUCUGCCCGUCCUAGCUCGCGCCCGUGCCAUCUACGGACGCAAUGUGGUGCCCUCGUUCAAAUGGCUCGAACUGCUGCUUGUUUUGGUCCCUAUCAUGGAAUUGUCACGGCAGAUGUCCUAGUAAAAUGACUUAAUCAUGGAGCCAUCGCAACUAGGAAGCUUAAAGGGGUUUAACGGGUCAAAGGACACGAGAGGUUUAUACUGGUUCGGUCCCUUGCGGUGAAGGUAAAGGCCUAGUCCAGUUGAUAUGGUAUUGCUAGGUUUCAAUGACCAAGGAGCGAAUACACUUAACCUGGCUCUCGAUCUGUUGUUUCUUGUCCUAAGCCACCGCCGGGUGUUGAAGCAUGCCUCCACAUGGUGCCCGAACGUCUCCCUCGUGACGCUAGCCAGGUCAGAGGCCCUCCAGAGGAGAGCCCCUGAGCCCAGCCUGAGAGGGGCGCCGGGCAUGCCUUCCUAUGCGAGAGGGGAAGGUGCCCCAUCUAUGGGCGCAGGUCCUGAGGCAGGGCCACCAGAAACUCCACCCUCCUAAGGUCCUUGGAGGAGCAGCAACUUCUUAUUCUUGUUGGGGAUAGCCUCAGGAGGGUAGACAACACCCUCAUCAUCUGGGUCCUUGACAGCCGCAGCCUGGUAGGCGCUCUCGAGAGAGCACACCGCGUCCUUCUUGUCACAGGCGACCGUGAUGAUGCCACAGCUCCCUGGCAUCUUGACGACAUUGUAGCCAUGAUGAGUCGCAGCCAGGAACUUGGCCAGGGCCAGAUACCCUAGGAUGGCGUUGUACAGGGGGCGAAUGUGAUCAACGUCGAAGUCGAUGAGCUCAGUGCGGUAGUUGUCGCGCUUGCCGAAGGUGACAGGGAGGCGGAUCUGCCCUAUCGGGGUGGUGGAGCCGUUGGUCACUCCUGAGAAAGGCUUGGUAGGGUGAAGCUGGUCAUAGGGCACCUGGAGCCUGUCGAACGUCUCGACAGGGAGUACAUUGAGCCCCGCGCCGCCAUCGAUGAGUGUCUUGGUGACGAGGACGUUGCUAAUGGUAGGCGAGCAGAGCAUCGGGAGGGGGCCGACAGUUGCCGCGCACUUGAGCUGGUCUGUAGAGUCGAAGGUGAUGGCAUAAUUGGACCACCUGAGUGGACGCGUCGCCUCGAGCUUGGGGAGGGCCGCAUUCACCUCACGAGCGAACUGCUUGAAGAUGCGAUGAGAGGCAGGAGCCUGAGUGCCACCUAGGAUGUAAGCGAUGGCACGAGGCUCUUGGAAGCCCCCAACUCCGUCGUCUUGGUGGUGGUCAUCAGUCCUUCUUGGCAGUGGCGGCAACGGAGGGAGGCCAGCGUUGCCCUGUGGGCGAUCCUCACGAGGCUGGUCCCUCCAGGCGCCCUCGCGAGGCUGGCCCUCCCAGCAGUCCUCAGGAGGCUGAUCGCACCAGUCCUGGCAGGGGUCAUGGUUGUCCCAGCGUCCUCCGCCUCGGCCUCCUCCACGGCCAUAGCCUCGGUCGUUGCACUCUGGGCAGCGACCAAGGCGCCCAUCAUAGAUGGCCCUGAUCUCCUGGCAGUCAUUGGUGUUGUGGCUGUGCACGUUGUGGAAGACACAGAAUGGGCGGUUGUCCUUGGAUGAUUCUGGGUGGUCGCAAUCGCGCUUCAUCUCUGGCUUGGCCGCGAGCACGGCUGGCCCCUUGUGCUUCACAUCCUUGGCCUUGGUCUUCUUGUCCUCUGGGUCGACCUCCGGAAGCUCCAGGAGAGAAAGGCAACCUUCUUCAGCUCUCGCACACUUGGUUGCCAUGUUGAACAUCUCUAGGGCCGUGCACAGGUCCUCGUGUAUGGAGAGCUCCUCCGUCAUCUUGAUGUCGUGGACGCCAUCAUUGAACGCCGAGUUGAUGGCCUCAUCUAACACCUUGGAGAUCUUGAGGCAGACGUUGUUGAAGUGUUGGAUGUAUUUGUGCAAGGUCUCUCCUGGCUGCUGCUUGAUGCACCGCAGGUAACCCACAGUUGAUGGGUGGUCACGAGUGCCCUAGAAGUUGGCGAUGAAGCGUUCUCGCAUCUUAUCCUAGGAGGUGAUCGAACCCGCAGGGAGGUUCAGGAGCGAUGAGCGCGUGCCAUCCUUGAGGGCCAUGGGAAACCACUUUGCCAUGACUUUCUCGUCGCCGCUGGCCGGCUCGAUGCUCAGCUCGUAGAGCUGCAGGAACUCGGCAGGGUCAGUGGUGCCGUCAUAGCGCGGAGGCAGGUCUGGCUUGAACUUCCCUGACCAGAUGAUGCGGCGUAGGUCCGGAGUGAACGCGCGACAUUCCACCGUGGUCACUGGGGCCCUCCAUGGAGGUGGAGCCUGAUCUUGGCGCUCGCGCACCACCGCUUCAGGCGGCACACGGUCUUGACAUGGCAGUGUAGGGAGCGCACGCGCCUCUCCUUGCGGCCGCUGCACCACUUGGCAGCUCUCCUCAUCGCGCGCUAGCACCCUACACAGUGGGUCGUGCCGUGAGGCUUCACACCUUCGCUCGGGGACGACGUCUUGCCUGGGAGGUGGAGGAGGCACACCAUGGGCCACGUCACCCGCAAGAGGCGGCGUGGGAGGCAGCGAGUGGGACAGUGCAGGGGCCUCUUCGGCGGCGCUGAUGAGCUCGGUGAUGCGGUCCAGCCAGUUCUCGUAGAGGUCAUCAGCCAGUAGUUACCGCAGGAGCUCGCGUGCCAUGAGCAACGCAGCCCGCGCGUUCCCCGGCCCUCGGUUGGCGUGAGACGAUGAAGCGGCCGUCGGAGUCAGCGACGAAGUGGCGGUGCGCCCAUCACGCCGCAUACAAGGCUGCAUCGAUGAAGUAUGCUGCUCGUGGGCCGCGGGGACGGUGGCGGCGUUGGCCGCCGGCGACGGGGAAUGGCGGGGAGCGCCGUCGCCUACACACGCCGUCUGGGCGACACGCGCGGCGAGGGCAGCCUGGAGCUUAGCACGAACCCGACGAGCAUCGGCCAUGGGAACGGCGAAAUAGUGGUGAAUCAACUGGAGGAAGAGAGGCUCCGACGCACCCCUACCUGGCACGUGAAAUGUCAGAUUUUGGGAUCUGUAGACCCUGGAUAGAUUCAAACUUUGGGCUGCGUGUAGAGAACUCAACUCCCCAGCCUGCCUACUCGUCACACUCAUGGCCUAGCUCGACGAAAUGUAAUGAAAUGGGACAAGACAGUUUACCUAGGUUCGGGCCACCUUGCAGUGUAAAACCCUACACCUGCUUUGUGUUGGAUUAGCCUCGAGGUGGGCUGAGGAUGAACUAGUACAGCGGGAGAACAACCUUAGGAAGUGUGUUCUUGAGCUGGUGAGGGAGAGGAUGAUCUGAAUGAUCCGCCCCCCUUGUAUGGUGGUGGCUAGGCUAUACUUAUAGUGGCCUUGGUCCCGUUCCCCCAAAAUGUAGGCGGGAAGGGAUCCCACAAUGGCCAAAUUUGAAGGAAGACAACUAGUACAUCUUAUCCUGACGAAAGGUGGUCUUCGCCUGCGAAGCUUCUGGUCAUGACACCAUGGUGGGCUCGGUGAUGACCUCCGUCCCCCCGUCCUGGCAGUCCUGGUGUCGGUGUCAAAACCGGCGGAUCUCGGGUAGAGGGUCCCGAACUGUGCGUCUAAGGCCGGUGGUAACAGGAGGCGGGGGACACAAUGUUUACCUAGGUUUGGGCCCUCUCGAUGGAGGUAAUACCCUACUUCCUGCUUGAUUGAUGUUGAUGAUAUGAGUAUUACAAGAGUUGAUCUACCACGAGAUCAUAGAGGCUAAACCCUAGAAGUUAGCCUAUGAUUAUGAUUGUUGUUGUCCUACGGACUAAACCCUCCGGUUUAUAUAGACACCAGAGGGGUCUAGGGUUACACAGAGUCGGUUACAAGGGAGGAGAUCUACAUAUCCGAAUUGCCAAGCUUGCCUUCCAUGCAAAGUAGAGUCCCACCCACACAUGGGACGAAGUCUUCAAUCUUGUAUCUUCAUAGUCCAACAGUCUGACCAAAGUAUAUAGUCCGGCUGUCCGAGGACCCCCUAAUCCAGGACUCCCUCAGUAGCCCCUGAACCAGGCUUCAAUGACGAUGAGUCCGGCGCGCAGAUUGUCUUCGGCAUUGCAAGGCGGGUUCCUUCUUCGAAUACUCCAUAGAAGAUUUUGAACACAAGGAUUGUGUCCGACUCUGUAAAACAAAUUCCACAUACCAUCGUAGAGAGUAUAAUAUUCCACAAAUCUAAUCUGCUGACAACUUUUCAUAACGUGACAUCCUGCCGUGGUCCGGUCAUUAUGAACCGUUUUCCACAGCCUGCCACUACACAUGUUGCGAGGCGGGUUUAUUGGCACGUCUUGUCGAAGCAGAUAUCGUGUUCCCCUUAUCAUGGGAUUCUCAUCAAUACGGGUGUGGGUAACCCAACCAUGCCAUCAAUCGCGAUGCUUGGGGAAUAAGCAAUUUUAUGGGGCAAGUAGGGAGGCGCAUAGUUUCUACCGCCUUUAUAAAGGGACAAGGAUUCCUAUUUUUCACCCGCGCCUUCUUCUUCCCAUGCCCAUCCAUUCUCACGCACUUGAGCUCCAGCGCCCAAGUUCUCAUCUUCUCCGCAAAGCCAUUUCGAACAUGUCCGGAGCGAGGGACAAGUGGAUGGUCUCCUCCAUUACGGAGGAGAACAUUACGAAGCUCCGGGAAUCCGGAUACCUGGCCGUAGACAUCGCACAUCGGCUCCUAGACGCGGGGCAGAUCGUCCCUACUCCAGAAUGCCAUGAGAUGGUUGUUGUCCGUGUCAAAAUCGGCGGAUCUCGGGUAGGGGGUCCCAAACUGUGCGUCUAAGGCGGAUGGUAACAGGAGGCAGGGGACACGAUGUUUACCCAGGUUCGGGCCCUCUUGAUGGAGGUAAUACCCUACGUCCUGCUUGGUUGUUCUUGAUGAUAUGAGUAUUACAAGAGUUGAUGUACCACGAGAUCAGAGAGGCUAAACCCUAGAAGCUAGCCUAUGGUAUGAUUGUAUGUUGUCCUACGGACUAAAACCCUCCGGUUUAUAUAGACACGGGAGGGGGCUAGGGUUACACAAGGUCGGUUACAAAGGAGGAGAUAUACAUAUCCGUAUUGUCUAGCUUGCCUUCCACGCCAAGUAAAGUCCCAUCUGGACACGAGACGAAGUCUUCAAUCUUGUAUCUUCAUAGUCCAACAGUCCGGCCAAAGGAUAUAGUUUGGCUGUCCGGAGACCCCCUAAUCUAGGACUCCCUCAGUAGCCCCCGAACCAGGCUUCAAUGACGUCGAGUCCGGUGUGCAGUAUUGUCUUCGGCAUUGCAAGGCGGGUUCUUCUUCAAAUUUUGAAUGUCUGUUAAGUAGUGUCCGACCCCAUGAAUGUUGGACUUCUUGGCUUCUGUGCUCAAUAAGGGCUAUCUUCCACGCGUCGAACAAACACGAGGAGCCAGGGCAUUUUUACAUUCGCCCCCCUAGCCAGAUAAAUAAAUUGUCUAUUAAAGGGAUGGGGAUUCUUAGAUCCAAUCCAUACCAUCCUCCCACAGUGAGAAUCCAUCGGAGCACGCUUCGGAAAAAUCCACUCCAACAUGGCCGACCACCGCAGCUCCUCCUCCCGCCCCCGUAGCCCUAAGCCCGAUGAUUGGGAGAGGUGUUCCGUCCCACACAAUCGAUUAGUAGAGCUGCAGACUCACGGAUUCCUCCCUCCAGCGUAUAUGGUCCCCGUCCGAGCCGGGCUCACCACCUAUAAUGGCGAGGAGCAAGCGGAGAGCUUCCCCAGCCCCUCUAAGGGGGAGCGGGUGCGCCUUGUUCCUUACUUACUAAGGGGACUCAGAUUUCCAAUUCAUCCGUUUCUCCAUGGGCUCCUGGAGUUUUACGGCCUCCAACUGCAUAUUUUCACCCCUACUUCCAUAUUACAUAUUGCCGGCUACGUUGCCCUUUGCGAGCUAUUUCUGGGCUGCGAGGCUCAUUUUCGAGCUGUGGAAAAGGUUAUUUUGCCUUGUGCCCCACACAUAGGAGGGGUCACUUUAUCAAGUGGGUGGAGCCGAAAUAUGGCGCAUCACCGAAACUGGAUACCUGUCCGGUACUCCGAAGAAGACGUCCGAGGACUGGCCUUCGGAGUGGUUUUAUAUGGAGGACGCCCCCUUCCAGACCCUGUUCGGCGGGGUUUUCCUGAGUUCGACAAUGCUCCUAUGAAGAAACGCCAAAGCUGGCGCCCACGGACCCCCCAGGAGGAAGACAAUGGAGAACUCCUUUACCUGAUGAACCAGAUUAAAGCGCUGGCUCAAUCAGGAUUGACAAUAAUCGAGGUUAUGUCAAUAUGCAUAAUGCGGGGAGUGCAGCCACUUCAAUAUCGAGGGCACCCCCUGUGGUGUUUUAACGGGGAAGAUGAUGCCACCCGUUGCGGGCGUAGGGGACCGGACUCUGCUGCUGCUUUAGCAAAAAUUCUGUCCGAGUUGUUCAAGGGAGAGGAAGAGGAGUUCAUCUGUAUCAGGCCACGGGAUGGAUUCUCAAUGUACAAUCCUCCAAGCUGGGUGAGUUAUACCUCUUUACUCCCAUUCUUCCCUCAUUCUUCGUCGUAGGUACUCACCUUGCCAUUUUAUGGCAGGAACUGCGAAAAGCUAUAAGGGAGGUCAACAGCCCAUCUCCACAACCAGAGGACCCUGGCCCGGCCCUCGGUCCCGGACUCGAAGAGGAUCCAGACAUAUUCGUGGAGCUGAUAGACAGGCAAUUCUAUCAAUUGAGCUGCGAUGACGCCAUGGUGGCCAUAACGGCCGACUAUCCCGGACUGCUCCCUGCGUUGCACGUAAGAAAAACCAAAAUCCCAACUCCAAAACUAGGAUCCCCUUUUGGACACUUCACCUACCGUACACAUAUGGUGUUUUACACGGAAGUCAUUCGGGACGCUGUGCCGAACCCGCAGCAACUCGCCAACAAGAGGCACCGAAGCCAGGUAGGCCAAAAAGGAAGGCGGUCAGGACGGAGACGCCGGUGCAGAGGUAUGACACAAAACCUCGCUCUGUGGUUGUCGUCUUUCUCAAAAUGUAAUGACAUCCAUGCUUCUUCAAUAGAAAAAGCGCUCGCCGGAGUAUAUCCGGAGAGGCUGCCGAUCACGCCUGCACCAGUCGGGCUCUAGGGCCGGACAUAGAGGCAGAAGCCAACAUGGGGCGGACGCCGGAUGCUCCUCCUACAGAGGAUGCAGAUAGACUAUCUGCUACAAAUUCAGAAUUGGAGAGCGCCAUGAAUCAUAGGCGUCGCCGGGCCGUACUCCGUGACGCUUGCUUCUCGCCAGAGGCAUUUGAUGCCUUCAAUUCUAGAGACGCGUACCUCCGUGCUGCUCAAAAUGGUCUAGCCAGAGCCACAGAUCAGUAUGUAAGGGAUGUACGGGUAAGCAAAUCUGACGAUUAUAUGCAUCAGUAGCCCCUGAGACUUGCAACAGUUGACGCAACUGAUUUAAGGAUCCUUAUUUGUGCAGGUUCUUACGGAGAAGAAUUCCCAACUGUCUCAAGAGCUAGACUAGUGCAAGGCCCAGCUCGAAGCCGCUGUUGCCGCAUUGAAGGAGUCCAAAAAGGCCCCCUGGUAACUCUUUUGUCUAUUGCAAAGAAUAUCGGUACCAGGUAGUAUGCGGCAUGUAUGCACACCUAACAAUAGAUGUUGCAGGUGGCCCCGAAGUGAAUCCGGAGGGCAUGGAGGCGGAUACGGCAUGUGAUGAUCGACAUCGAAAUGCUGGCGAGCGCGUGCUGACGCGAGUCAGGCAGGAGAAAAAUGAUCUCCAAGAUGCCAAUAUCCGACUGGGCAUGGAACUGAAGGAUGUCCGAGCCCAGCUUGCGGACUCCAUGAAGGAGAAUAAACGAUUUCAGCGCGGCAUUUUUAGUAAGUGCUUGAAUGAACUUUUUAAAGGAGUUUGGCGAAGAAGCCUGCUAACAACGUUAUGUCUGCAGGUAUGCUGACGGGUUGUCCCGCAGAGGAGAUGCCCGGGUCUUCGGGUGAUCUUCUACCAGAGCUCUCACAACUGCACGAACAAGUUCGACAGGUGAUGCAGAGUAUUGCCCAAGCCUUGUGGCCCUCCGUGUCCCCGCCAGGAGGCAUGGGGGAUCUUAUAGAGAAGCUCAAGGGAGCCGGCGGCGCUUCCGAUUAUGGAAGAUAUUAGCCUGCCGACAAGGUGCAAGGGAAGCCUGGGCUAUGGUGAAGACACGAUAUACCAAGGCUGACCCAAACCAUAUGGCCGAGGUUGGACCUAUGGGGCCCGAUGGGAAAGAGAUCCCCGUCAGUUUAGUGUAUGAUCAAGUAGAAUUAGCCGCAAAGUAUUCCCAACAGGAUUGUAGGCUAGACAGCCUGUUGGAUUGUAUAGAAGAAGAAUUUCAUCAGUCUUAGUGACAGUGUACUUCAAGUGACAUAUGUAAUGUCCCUAGCAGGAUUGUAAAUCAUUUGUCAUGGCAGACCUUUUCGCUUCAACCUCUGGACCCGAUAGUCCAGAGUGUAUCUGAAUACCCACUCGGUUAUAUAAAAACUAGGGUAUGCAUGGAAACCAGGCGUAGGGGUCAUAAGUUCUUGAACAGACAAGUACCCAACUAGCUAUGUUAUAUUACAUGGAUAGUAAGAAACAUCUUCCAGGGGAAUAGUUCCGUUAAGGGUUCCUUUCCCUGGGUACGCAUGCCCUAAUGUGCAUGUCCGAACUGCGAGACGCAGGUUAAAAACAUCUGGGGGCGUGUAGUAAUUUAAAUGAAAGUUAUCUUUUAUUCGCCGAGCGAAUAUUCCCUUAAGAACACUAGCUUUCGGCUUCACCUAGUCUGAGGUAUACAUCUGGCUGAACCAGGAGUAACAAUCGCAGAGGUGCUCCCCUUAUGCCCUAGCCGAAUUAACGGGAACAUAGGGCAUAAAUACAAGAGCCAGUCAACCCAGCUUGGCCAAAACUUAAGUCAUAUCGAUGCAUAUAAUGGCGAGAAAAGGUACAUGCGGAAGAAUAACACAUGUGCGGGGCAUAAAGCCCGGAAAGGUAAUUAUUAAGCUUCUGUAUAGGAAGCCCCCAGGUAUAUUGAGCGCGGUUAGCGCGUCAAGAUUGUGUGACCAAGACACAAGUGUAGCCCUUUAGGGCCUUGAAGAGAAAAGAGAGAAAGAAAGAGAGAAAAAA
RNAcentral lists this long non-coding RNA (35566 nucleotides) under Triticum aestivum (bread wheat). RNAcentral's name for it is "long non-coding RNA (TAES_LNC005400)". Lineage: Eukaryota; Viridiplantae; Streptophyta; Magnoliopsida; Poales; Poaceae. The record is from RNAcentral.